UUUGACCUCAAAUCAGGUAGGACUACCCGCUGAACUUAAGCAUAUCAAUAAGCGGAGGAAAAGAAACUAACAAGGAUUCCCCUAGUAACUGCGAGUGAAGCGGGAAAAGCUCAAAUUUAAAAUCUGGUAGUCCUUGUGGCUAUCCGAGUGUAAUCUAGAGAAGGUAAGGGCG
Molecule: ribosomal RNA, 172 nt
Filed under: uncultured Infundibulicybe
Lineage: Eukaryota; Fungi; Basidiomycota; Agaricomycetes; Agaricales; Tricholomataceae
Description: partial 28S ribosomal RNA
Rfam family: Eukaryotic large subunit ribosomal RNA
Source: RNAcentral